Molecule: ribosomal RNA, 471 nt
Filed under: uncultured bacterium
Lineage: Bacteria
Description: partial 16S ribosomal RNA
Rfam family: Bacterial small subunit ribosomal RNA
Source: RNAcentral
GACGAACGCUGGCGGCGUGCUUAACACAUGCGAGUCGAACGGUAAAGCCCUGCUUUUGUGGGGUGGACGAGUGGCGAACGGGUGAGUAACACGUGAGUAACCUGCCCUUGUCUUUGGGAUAACGCCAGGAAACGGGUGCUAAUACUGGAUAUGAACUGGUCUUCGCUUGGGGGGUGGGGGAAGUGGUGGUGGUGGGGGAGGAUGGGCCGGCUGCUGAUCUGCUUGUUGGGGGGGUAAUGGCCCACGAAGGCGAUGGGGGGUAGCCGGACUGGGAGGGUGGGCGGCCACAUUGGGCCUGAGAUACGGCCCAGGCUCGUACGGGGGGCAGCAGUGGGGAAUAUUGCACAAUGGGAGGAAGCCUGAUGCAGCAACGCCGCGUGCGGGAUGACGGCCUUCGGGUUGUAAACCGCUUUAGCCUGUGACGAAGCGUGAGUGACGGUAAUGGGUAAAGAAGCACCGGCUAACUACGUG